AUGAAGCUGCAACACUGGUCUUGCCUGCAGGAGGGCCUGAAGUUGAUUAUCAGAACUGACAAAACUGAGCUGUUGGAAUACCCGUGGCCCCUCACAGCCUUGCACCAUCACAAUGCCAUAUUGUCUGGCAAAGUUUACCUGUGCAGCCUCCACUCUGAUGGUCACAAGAUGGACUCAGUACACCAUCUGGAGUGAGUUAAAAGUUCAGGACCCAACGUUCCAGCCUCAGACCUCUGGUCCUGCCUGGAGGAAGAAUGCAGGAAACAGCCAAGCUUGA
Molecule: long non-coding RNA, 277 nt
Organism: Mus spicilegus (steppe mouse)
Lineage: Eukaryota; Metazoa; Chordata; Mammalia; Rodentia; Muridae
Source: Ensembl